RNAcentral lists this ribosomal RNA (253 nucleotides) under uncultured bacterium. RNAcentral describes it as "partial 16S ribosomal RNA". It matches the Rfam family "Bacterial small subunit ribosomal RNA", at positions 524 to 776 of the family's 1533-position model. The record is from RNAcentral.
UACGUAGGGGGCAAGCGUUAUCCGGAUUUACUGGGUGUAAAGGGCGUGUAGGCGGGACUGCAAGUCAGAUGUGAAAACCACGGGCUCAACCUGUGGCCUGCAUUUGAAACUGUAGUUCUUGAGUACUGGAGAGGCAGACGGAAUUCCUAGUGUAGCGGUGAAAUGCGUAGAUAUUAGGAGGAACACCAGUGGCGAAGGCGGUCUGCUGGACAGCAACUGACGCUGAGGCGCGAAAGCGUGGGGAGCAAACAGG